AUGGCGGAGCGAGGGCCGGCCGCCGCGUCUAGGAGGAGGCCCAGGCGGCGGCGACCGGGGGAGACCCUUGACCAUCAACAUCCACGCCCCUCCUCCUCUCUCAAGAUCCCCUCUUGGAGCCAUACGAAUCCUUGCUCCACCACCGCCCAAACCCCCCAUCCGAGCCAUCUGAAUGCUUGCCGCACCGUCGUCCCUACGACGACGAAUCCCUCCUGGGGAUCCAAGCGCGUACGUACCGCGUCUAAUCGCAAUCCACUCCUCCACGAUCCUGAUGCUAAUAACUGCAGGGACUGGGCGAGCCUCGGGGAAGGUCCGGCGGGGCUCAUCGCGGAUUUCGUCCUCGCCAACGACGUGGCCGACUACGUCCGCUUCCGCGCCGUGUGCGGCCCGUGGCGGCGGUGCUGCACCGACCCGCGCGGGCACGGCGCUCUGGACCGCCGGUUCCACCCCAGGCGCUGGGUCAUGCUCCGGGAGAAGCUCGCCUACGCCCGCCGCUUCCUCAACGUCUCCACCGGCGAGUGCAUACAAACGGAAAUCUUGGAGCUCCGCGAGCAUGACGAGCUCGGGCUCACCCCCGAGGGCCUCAUCAUCUUGCUCCACGGGCCUAGCCGCACCCACGUCCGUCUGCUCAACCCGCUGACCCGCCAGCAGCUCACAGAUCUCCCGCCAUUAACCACGCUGCUACCUCCAGAGCGCCACUCCGACCUCCUUCCCGACCGUGAUUUUCCUCUCAGAGCAUGGGGCUCUGGCAUUGCCGCAGAUGAUUCCUCGGUCGUGCUCUGUUUCAACUCGCGAUGCAUCCUAGGCAUCGCCAAGCCUGGCGACGAGCGCUGGACAGUGGUCCGGUACAAGAACUCAGUACACACUGCACCCUUGAUGUUUGCAGGCCGCUUCUAUUGCACCACAGAAAAUGGCAUCCUGCUGCUAGAGACAAGUGCAGAUCAGCCACCACGCAUGGAGGUGGCUGCCAGAUUGCAAAAGCCAAUCUCGGCGAUGAUAAUGGAUAGCGCACACCUGGUGAACAACGACGGUGAACUGAUGCUGGUGCACCGCACGCUUCGGUACCUCAGGAAUAGAUCAAGGAGGAGGACGUACGACGUUUACAAGGUGGAUUUGGAGACCGGAACUCUACUCCCGGUCAUGAGCUUGGGCGGCCAGGCAUUGUUCAUGGGUUUUUAUUGCUCUCUUUCGGUUUCUGUGGACAGUUUCCCCUCCAUAAGUGGUGAUACCAUAUACCUGAGCUUCGAUUUCAAAGAAAGAGUCCAUGAUGAGGAAAUAGAGGCCUGCCAUCUCCCAAAAAGAAGCACGAAAUCUGCUCAUUACAACCUGGACAGCUCCGUGCCUUGGCCUCAUAAAGUAGUGCCGACGCCUCAUACUCUCAUUGAUUGUUUAUCCUUGUGUAAUACCGUUGAAGCAAGUCCAAAACAUGUAGCCUUGGUAAUUUGA
This 1446-nucleotide ribosomal RNA is filed under the name Triticum aestivum (bread wheat). Its description in RNAcentral is "partial small subunit ribosomal RNA". The record is from RNAcentral. Lineage: Eukaryota; Viridiplantae; Streptophyta; Magnoliopsida; Poales; Poaceae.